RNAcentral lists this ribosomal RNA (222 nucleotides) under uncultured bacterium. Its description in RNAcentral is "partial 16S ribosomal RNA". It matches the Rfam family "Bacterial small subunit ribosomal RNA", at positions 109 to 334 of the family's 1533-position model. The record is from RNAcentral.
AGUAAUACAUCGGAACAUGUCUUCUAGUGGGGGAUAACUGCCCGAAAGGGCAGCUAAUACCGCAUGAGACCUGAGGGUGAAAGCGGGGGAUCGCAAGACCUCGCGCUGGAAGAGCGGCCGAUGUCCGAUUAGCUAGUUGGUGAGGUAAAGGCUCACCAAGGCGACGAUCGGUAGCUGGUCUGAGAGGACGACCAGCCACACUGGGACUGAGACACGGCCCAG